AGUGAACGCUGGCGGCAGGCCUAACACAUGCAAGUCGAACGGCAGCACAGUAAGAGCUUGCUCUUACGGGUGGCGAGUGGCGGACGGGAGAGGAGUACAUCGGACUCUACUUUUUCGUGUGGGUUCACGUAGGGGAACCUACGCCAAUACCGCAUCCGCUCUACGGUUGAAAGCAGGGGAUCUUCGCACCUUGCGCGAAUGGAUGAGCCGAUGUCGGGGUAGCUAGUUGGCGGGGUAAAGGCCCACCUAGGCGGCGAUCCGUAGCCGGUCUGAGAGGAUGAUCGGCCACACUGGAGCUGAGACACGGUCCAGGCUCCUGCGAGAGGCAGCAGUGGGGAAUGGUAGACAGUGGGGGCGAACCUGGUACAGCCAUACCGCGUGGGUGAAGAAGACCUUCGGGUUGUGAAGCCCUCUUGUUGGGAGAGAAAAGCAGCAGGUUGAUACGCAGCUGUUGUGACGGUACCGGAUAAAUAAGCACCGGCUAACUACGUG
RNAcentral lists this ribosomal RNA (492 nucleotides) under uncultured bacterium. RNAcentral's name for it is "partial 16S ribosomal RNA". It matches the Rfam family "Bacterial small subunit ribosomal RNA", at positions 28 to 507 of the family's 1533-position model. The record is from RNAcentral.